UCCGUAGGCGGUGCGGCAAGUCGGUAGUGAAAUCUCUGGGCUUAACUCAGAGGCUGCUUCCGAAACUGCCGUGCUCGAGUGUGAGAGAGGCGAGUGGAAUUACGGGUGUAGCGGUGAAAUGCGUAGAUAUCCGUAGGAACAUCCGAGGCGAAAGCGGCUCGCUGGAUCACAACUGACGCUGAGGGACGAAAGCUAGGGGAGCAAACAGGAUUAGAUACCCUGGUAGUCCUAGCCCUAAACCAUCAGGACUUGGGGUUUGCCCUGUACGGGGCAAGUCCCGGAGCUAACGCGUUAAGUCCUGCGCCUGGGGAGUACGGUCGCAAGGCUGAA
Molecule: ribosomal RNA, 330 nt
Filed under: uncultured bacterium
Lineage: Bacteria
Description: bacterial SSU rRNA
Rfam family: Bacterial small subunit ribosomal RNA
Source: RNAcentral